RNAcentral lists this unclassified non-coding RNA (246 nucleotides) under uncultured Basidiomycota. RNAcentral describes it as "sequence contains ITS2". Lineage: Eukaryota; Fungi; Basidiomycota. The record is from RNAcentral.
AAUAUCUCAACCUCUUUUUCUUUUGAAAUGUGAGGCUUGGAGCUUGGAAGCUUGCAGGAAUGAAACAAGCCUGCUCUUCUGAAAUGCAUGAGUGAAGGAAUUUUCUUGUUGACCGAUCCUUUCACCGGUGUGAAUAAAUGAUAAUAUCUAUUAUGCCACCUUGUGAAGGUCAGAGAAAAGGAGAAUUGCCUUUGCUUUUACAAUUGUCUCUUCUGAGACUGAAGACAUGUUUCUUCAAUUUGACCU